GAGAAAAACACGGAAAUGCCACGCUGUGCAAUUCUAGUUUGAUGUAAAUUUUAACUAUAACAACAUAGAUCGUUUUUCGAUGCAAUCUGAUAACUUGAAUUAUAAACCAAGCGAUGACGGACAACCUACGUGCAUAUGUAUCAUUUUAACAAAAUUGUACGCUUUAAUAGGUUAAUAAUGAGUAUAUGAAGGAUUGUAUAAAUUUGCUGGCAAUCGAGUUCAACUUCUAGCCAGCUCGCUGUUUGAACGAACUGGACUUAAGCAGAACAGACGAAUUCCUUUGGAAAGAUUAAAAAGUUAAAUCCAUCAAGUAAGAGACAAAAUAGCUAUAACUAAUGCCGUUAUUUAUACAGUACUCAGUUUACCAGUACUAGUAUUGGUAUUACUAUAUAAAUAAAUUCAUAUAUAUUAGAUUCCUAGGUAAAUUUGCUAAGAAUGAAACUGUGAGGCCAGUCAAGACUCAUGCCCAUGUUGUUCGGAUUAUAUGUGUUAACUAAACAAGCUGAUCCACCUAUCUUCGAUCAGACAAUAUUUACUACUAAACGUUACAUAAUUAAGACAGUUUAUAAUUUAAUAUCACAUACAAACAGCCAGUAACUUUUCUCUUGAGUAUAGACUCUGAAUCUACGAAUCGAACAUUCUUAAUCAUUUGUCUAUAUGGUUUUGUUGUUUGUUUACAUGUAGUAAGACUAUGCCAAGUUCAUUAAAAAAUAAAUAUAUCUCUUUCGGCAGAACUGUAAAGGUCAAGACGCCCACUAGCAUGGAUCGAGCAAUUUUGUACUAAAAAACUUGGAAGAGCAAAGACAAG
This is a non-coding RNA of Paramuricea clavata, 808 nucleotides long. Lineage: Eukaryota; Metazoa; Cnidaria; Anthozoa; Malacalcyonacea; Plexauridae. The record is from the annotation of a GenBank genome assembly.